This 71-nucleotide transfer RNA is filed under the name Loxodonta africana (African savanna elephant). It matches the Rfam family "tRNA". Rfam says of the family: Transfer RNA (tRNA) molecules are approximately 80 nucleotides in length. Their secondary structure includes four short double-helical elements and three loops (D, anti-codon, and T loops). Lineage: Eukaryota; Metazoa; Chordata; Mammalia; Proboscidea; Elephantidae. The record is from Rfam by way of RNAcentral.
GCAUUGGCAGUUCAGUGGUAGAAUUCUCACCUUCCAUGUGGGAGGCCCAGGUUUGAUUCCCAGCCAAGGCA